Molecule: transfer RNA, 65 nt
Filed under: Morophaga formosana
Lineage: Eukaryota; Metazoa; Arthropoda; Insecta; Lepidoptera; Tineidae
Description: tRNA-Thr
Source: RNAcentral
GUUUAUAUAAUUUAAUAAAAAUAUUGAUCUUGUAAAUCAAAAAUAAGUUAUACACUUUUUAAACU